Long non-coding RNA from Bos indicus x Bos taurus (hybrid cattle), 1747 nucleotides. The record is from Ensembl. Lineage: Eukaryota; Metazoa; Chordata; Mammalia; Artiodactyla; Bovidae.
GUACAAACAGGCUUUAUGUACGCUUUUGUGCUUUGGCUCGACAUCUUGUACUUCUGAUGCUGGCGUGACAAGAACAUUCUCUGAGUGAUCACUGGUCCUCGUUAGAGAGACCUGGAGACCCACAGACUGAAGCAGGGCUGCUCCAGCCAACUUGCAGAACUGUACAGGAGAGAAGUGUCACUGCGAGCCGCUAAGACUCAAAGACGACUUGUUACACAGCACUAUUACUACAGCAGGUGACUAACGCAGUACCCCUCUAAACUUUUUUUUAUCUUUUCCAAAUCUUACAUAUGCAUGUGUGUAUAUAUUUUUUACUUUUCUAUAUUUUUCUUUACCAUAUAUAUAAUCAUUUUUAUUUACUUUUAUUAUUAAAGAUGUCAAUAGGUAGGUGAAUUUUGAAUUUUCUUUAAAUACUAAAAAUAUUAAUAAAUGUUAUAUUUUUAAAAAGGAGGUUUGGAAGGCGGCCAGGGAAGAGUUUUAUUUAUGACAGUUGUGGGGAGACUUGGAUGCCACGUACGACAGAAGUCUAUGCUUCUUUGCUUUUCACUGAAGUCUGCAUAUCACUUUGCAGCUGGCGCAGUCACCUGCAGGAACUCGUUUGCUGUGAAGGAGUUGGCGAUGGGGGGAGAGCUAAUGGAAAGCUGGUGUUUACUCUGUGAUUGGCAUGCAGGCCCGCCUCAGGCUCAUGAAGAUGUUCUGUUUUUUUUUUUUUCAUUUUUAAAACGUAUAAAAACGAUUUCACCAUAACAGAGGUGCUCAGUUAUAAACCAAGCUGAACGGAAGAGCUUCGGCUGAAGAGCGGCCGUCUCCUGACAUACACCCCGCACCCCACCUCCCGUCCUGCACGCUCCUGGACAGCCUUUCUCAACAGUCCCUGCCUGAGCUGCUCCGGUGGCCGUGGCCGGAAGCCUAGACGGUGGUACGCUUCUUCCUCUGCUUCUUCACUUGUCCAGCUAGAGAGUGGCUACUGUCCUUGCUGGGGUCUGUGAGGGUUUAAUUGACUUACUCACCCUCUUCUCCGCCUCCCCCAGUGAGGGACAGGUAUGUUCUUUUUCUUACCUAAGUUGGUUCCCUGAAUGGCGGUUGGGGAGGGGUCUCUUAACACCAGGUGGGGCAUGCUGAAAGCUGGGCUUCCUGUGGGGGUGGGUGGGUGGUGCCCAGGUGCCCUGAAUCCCUGUUGGAGGUAGGCAAUUCUGGGGCACAAUCCCUCUGUCCUGAGGGCCCAGUGGUCUGCAGGGCAGAUGUUUCAUAACCAUCGCACGCCCAGUCCCCUUCUUGUUCCAGCCACCCACCCUCUCAAAGGCCAGGGGCUCCCCUGCUCCUCUGAAUCCUGUCUCCUUCAUUACUCCCCUGCUUCAUUUCAUGGCUCCGCGUGGCCCCAUCCACUUUCUUGUCUUCCAGAAAACUGCUGAACUUUCUCAUUCACUGAUGACCAUCCCUCGUGGGUACAUUUCUCUCUUACUUCUCUUUAUUUCUCUCCUUUACUCAGUCUGUCUCUGCAACGGGAAGACCACAUCGCCACAUCAGCGUCUUAAACAGGUCUCAAGACACCAAACAGAGGCUUGAGGUUGGCAGCCAGAGCCGGCCCCGGGUGGACAGUCUACAAAGGGAACCUGCCCACGAUCUUCCUAUAAUGGCUUGCCUGAGCCUUUCUCGGGUCCCUUUAUAGAUGUUCCGGGUGAUUCCAUCUUGGCUUUAAAACAAUUGCUCGCCCCGGGGGCAAUUUGGGGAGUUUCAAGUCAUCUUU